This is a long non-coding RNA of Bombina bombina (fire-bellied toad), 491 nucleotides long. RefSeq lists it as uncharacterized. Lineage: Eukaryota; Metazoa; Chordata; Amphibia; Anura; Bombinatoridae. The transcript has 3 exons. The record is from RefSeq and is a predicted model, not a curated record.
GCUGUGUAUAUAAGGCCGCAAUUACUUUGUUGUUAACAGAGAUCAGCAACCUUCAGAAAUAGAGACAAGAGCUGUACACAGCAGCAAAGAUCAUGGUGCAGAUUGUCUCUGCCUUAUUUCUAUGCUUGUCCUCUGGAGCGACACUCUCACAGUGACCGGCUUUUCUCGAACUGAACUACACACAGUAACUAGUUACAUCACUAGGAGAAUUACUGGAUAUACCGAUAGACAACAUGCCUACGUGGUGAAGUUUCCUCAUCACCAAUGCAGAAGAUUGCAUAUCCCCGGAGCUGUAGACAGAGCACUGAGAAACGAAAGGCCAAAUCGGAGGGAUAUAUUUUCAAACCAAAGGAUUUAUGAGGGAUAAUAGCCACAUACAAAGAUCUAAACCCAGGCAGAGAACAUUCUGAGCAUCGUCUGCUUUAUCCUAUUGGUUCUUCUCCAGUAGACAAUCUACUGAACAGAAAUCCUAGAGCUGGGUGUGUUUUGUU